GAUGAACGCUAGCGGCAGGCCUAAUACAUGCAAGACGAACGGCAAGAAUUGUAGCAAUACGGUUCCUAGAGUGUCGCACGGGUGCGUAACACGUAUGCAACCUACCUUGUACAGGAGUAUAGCUCGGGGAAACUCGAAUUAACCCUCCAUAAUAUAAUCGGAUGGCAUCAUUUGAUUAUUAAAACUUCGGUGGUACAAGAUGGGCAUGCGUUUGAUUAGCUAGUUGGCGGGGUAAAGGCCCACCAAGGCGAUGAUCAAUAGGGGAACUGAGAGGUUGAUCCCCCACACUGGCGCUGAGAUACGGGCCAGACUCCUACGGGAGGCAGCAGUAGGGAAUAUUGGUCAAUGGAUGGAAGUCUGAACCAGCCAUGCCGCGUGCAGGAAGAAGGCCUUCUGGGUUGUAAACUGCUUUUGCCAGGGGAUAAAAAUUCUUUGCGAAGAAAAUUGAAGGUACCUGGUGAAUAAGCACCGGCUAACUCCGUGCCAGCAGCCGCCGUAA
RNAcentral lists this ribosomal RNA (499 nucleotides) under uncultured bacterium. RNAcentral describes it as "partial 16S ribosomal RNA". It matches the Rfam family "Bacterial small subunit ribosomal RNA", at positions 28 to 523 of the family's 1533-position model. The record is from RNAcentral.